This 521-nucleotide ribosomal RNA is filed under the name uncultured bacterium. RNAcentral describes it as "bacterial SSU rRNA". It matches the Rfam family "Bacterial small subunit ribosomal RNA", at positions 17 to 518 of the family's 1533-position model. The record is from RNAcentral.
UUCUGGCUCAGAACGAACGCUGGCGGCGUGCUUAACACAUGCAAGUCGAACGCGAAAGGGACUUCGGUCCUGAGUAAAGUGGCGCACGGGUGAGUAACGCGUAGAUAACCUGUCUUCAUGUCUGGAAUAAUACGCCGAAAGGGGUACUAAUACCGGAUAUUCUUGCUUUUCAUAAGUUGUGCAAGCAAAGGUGGCCUCUGCAUAUGCUACUGCAUGAAGAGGGGUCUGCGUACCAUUAGCUAGUAGGUGGGGUAAUGGCCUACCUAGGCGACGAUGGUUAGCGGGUCUGAGAGGAUGAUCCGCCACACUGGCACUGGAACACGGGCCAGACUCCUACGGGAGGCAGCAGUGAGGAAUAUUGCGCAAUGGGGGAAACCCUGACGCAGCGACGCCGCGUGAGUGAGGAAGGCCUUCGGGUCGUAAAGCUCUGUCAAGAGGAAAGAAGUGUACAAUGGCUAAUACCUGUUGUAUUUGACGGUACCUCUAAAGGAAGCACCGGCUAACUCCGUGCCAGCCGCCGC